Molecule: ribosomal RNA, 257 nt
Filed under: uncultured bacterium
Lineage: Bacteria
Description: partial 16S ribosomal RNA
Rfam family: Bacterial small subunit ribosomal RNA
Source: RNAcentral
UACAGAGGGUGCGAGCGUUGUCCGGAAUCAUUGGGCGUAAAGCGCGCGUAGGCGGCCCGAUAAGUCUGCUGUGAAAGUCCAGGGCUCAACCCUGGAAUGCCGGUGGAUACUGUCGGGGCUAGAGUUCGGAAGAGGCAAGUUGGAAUUCCUGGUGGUAGCGGUGGAAUGCGCAGAUAUCAGGAGGAACACCUAUAGCGAAGGCAGCUUGCUGGGACGACACUGACGCUGAGGCGACGAAAGCGUGGGGAGCGAACAGG